RNAcentral lists this non-coding RNA (86 nucleotides) under human gut metagenome. RNAcentral's name for it is "THF riboswitch". It matches the Rfam family "THF (Tetrahydrofolate) riboswitch aptamer". From Rfam's summary of the family: THF riboswitch presents a pseudoknot that joins P1-P2 and the loop of P3 and two THF binding. The record is from RNAcentral. RNAcentral also lists the same sequence under 1 other name.
AGAGUAGAUUAGACGCGUCAAGUGUUAAUGGAUGGGAGGUCGCCAUUAAACGAAGACAAUAGUCGCGGUGUCUAAUCGCAGCCGCU